UUCCAGAAGUUGCUGGCUUGCUGCUCCCUGGCAGCUGGCAGGCCGCGGCUCGCACGCGUCCUCCAACCAGACCGGGCCAGGUCAGGCACGGAGCCGCUCGCCGCCUCCGGGGCUCCGGCCUCCGCCACGGCGGUUACCGGCGAUGAACGGCGGGCUCCCUGGAUUCCACAAUGCGCCGGCAUCGAGGGCCGUGGUCGUCGCCUCCGCGCUCUUCUCCGUCCCCUUCGGCUUCCGCGGCCGCUUCUUCGACCUCGGCCUUUCCUACCAGAAUGUUUACCAAAGUUUGAGUAUAUGGAGGCUUAUCACCUCGUUGUUUGCUUUCUCGUCGACCCCUGAGCUGAUAUUUGGAGCCGCGCUGCUGUACUACUUCCGGGUGUUCGAAAGGCAAAUAGGUUCUAACAAGUAUGCUGUCUUCAUCAUAUUCUCAACCAUGGUCUCUGUCCUGCUUCAGAUCCUUGCUUUAGGUUACCUGAAAGAUCCUUCUAUAAAUCCUCUGACGUCAGGACCCUAUGGCCUCAUUUUUGCAUCUUAUGUGCCAUUCUUCUUUGACAUUCCGGUCUCAAUGAGGUUCCGCAUAUUUGGACUGAGCUUAAGUGAUAAGUCAUUUGUAUAUUUGGCUGGACUCCAGCUUCUUUGCUCAUCUGGAAGACGUUCUGUUGUACCUGGAGUUUCUGGCAUACUAGCUGGCCUUUUGUAUCGCCUGAAUACAUUUGGCAUCCGCAGGUUGAAGUUCCCAGAGUUUGUAGCAUCACUCUUCACGCGUGUAUCGUGGCCGUUUUCUAGAAAUCCUUAUCAAGGGUUGCCGACUACAGAAAAUGAUGCAAACAUUUCUUCUCACCAGGUACAUCAAACUGAGGCAAGUAUUAUUGCUACAACCCUUAUAUUUGAUAGAUGUUGACAUAUAUUGGGCGAUCAGCGGAUUUUAGGUACUAAAUCAGCCAAUCAGGAGGUCCUCUGGAACAUGAUUUACAACACUUGAGAGUUGUCUUGAUUAUGUAUGCCUGACUAUGUUUGUUAUACUUUUUUUUGAAAUGGAUAAUAAAACAAAUAAGUUAAAUAUCUAGGAUGUGAGCACCUUAUGUAGGAAUAUGGGGUAGCAAAAACAAAAAUUUUCCACCGCAUAAACCAGGAUUACUGCAGUUAUAGAUCAUGGAAUUAGUGCAGAUGGAAGCCGGCAGUGCAGUUGCGUGAACCACCUCACGAACGGCUCGUCCUUGUGCAGCAAGCGCAGCACCUCCACGAAGUCCACACGUACAGGAAGAAGCUUCGCACUCCGGAUUGCUAGAUCCGCAAGAACGAACUUAGGCUGCGCACACAGCUACCCAAGACCCUGCAGAGUCCUCUAUUGCCGCUCUCGUGUCCAUUGGCUUCGAUCGUAACUCUGCAGUUCAGGCACUUGUAUUGACAAACUAUGACGUUAAUUUGGCCUCGAACAUUCUGCUUGAAACACAAGCCCUGCAGCAAUGAUACCUUGUAGUCAAAAUAUAGACGCACUGUACAUUAAUGGAUGUGAAGUGUUUCAUUCAUUCUUAUGUACCAGAUUUUAUCUCAGAAUUUAUUGACACAAACAAGCCAUUGUACAACACAGAACUAGAGGAACGAAGCACAAUGAAUACAUGAGCUCUCUAUUUGCUUGCUCGGAUA
Molecule: RNA transcript, 1644 nt
Organism: Panicum virgatum (switchgrass)
Lineage: Eukaryota; Viridiplantae; Streptophyta; Magnoliopsida; Poales; Poaceae
Gene name: rhomboid-like protein 20
Exons: 8
Source: RefSeq, a predicted model, not a curated record